CGCAGCCGCGGUAAUUCCAGCUCCAAUAGCGUAUAUUAAAGUUGUUGCAGUUAAAAAGCUCGUAGUUGAAUUUCGGGAUUAGUACGUUGGUCGUGCCUUAGGUACGUACUGGUGUUACUGGUUCCUACCUUCUGACGAACCAUCAUGUCAUUAAUUUGGUGUGGCGGGGAAUCAGGACUGUUACUUUGAAAAAAAUUAGGGUGUUUAAAGCAGGCUCGCGCUUGAAUACAUUAGCAUGGAAUAAUGAAAUAGGACGUUGACCCUAUUUUGUUGGUUUCUAGGAUUGACGUAAUGAUUAAUAGGGAUAGUUGGGGGCAUUAGUAUUCAAUUGCCAGAGGUGAAAUUCUUGGAUUUAUUGAAGACUAACUACUGCGAAAGCAUUUGCCAAGGAUGUUUUCAUUAAUCAAGAACGAAAGUUAGGGAUCGAAGACGAUCAGAUACCGUCGUAGUCUUAACCAUAAAACUAUGCCGACUAGGGAUCGGAUGAUGUUAUUUUAAUGACUCAUUCGGCGCCUUACGG
Molecule: ribosomal RNA, 520 nt
Filed under: uncultured Glomus
Lineage: Eukaryota; Fungi; Glomeromycota; Glomeromycetes; Glomerales; Glomeraceae
Description: SSU rRNA
Rfam family: Eukaryotic small subunit ribosomal RNA
Source: RNAcentral